Panonychus citri (citrus red mite) is the source of this 1909-nucleotide long non-coding RNA. RefSeq lists it as uncharacterized. The transcript has 4 exons. The record is from RefSeq and is a predicted model, not a curated record. NCBI's taxonomy places the organism in Eukaryota, Metazoa, Arthropoda, Arachnida, Trombidiformes, Tetranychidae.
AUUUCUCUUGCCGGUUUAGUUAAUUGUUUUCUUUUUGUUUCUAUUUUAUUUAAUUACUGUUUGAUUAAUUUAAUGUUCUAAUCCUUUGAUCACCUAAUUAUUUUAUUGUUUUCCUCAUUCAUCAUGUCAAGGACUUGGUCUGUUUCUGUUGAAUCAAUUUCCAUUUUUGCUCAACCUUCAAGUUACAUUUGACUUUUUUUUUGCUUGCAGAAAAUUAGUAAUUAAAUUGUGUUGUUUAACUUUUUAAUUAAUUGUCCUCAUCUUAUCAAAUGAUUGAGUGGAUACAGGUUUUCACCAUCAUUUGGAUAUAAUCACGGAUCAACCAGUUGAAUUUUCAAAUGGAUUUACAGAUUUGGAUUAGUGGAAAAGUGUUCAAAUCUUAUCUAUAUGAUUAUCAUUAAGAUUUUCAAACAAUUAUUAAUAUUUGUUAAUCAUCAACAACAAUUAACAUUUGAAGAUCAUCAAAAAGACUCAACUAUCACAUGGAAACAAAUUGACUGUCAGAAAUAUACACAGUUGGAUAUAAAUACAGUUAUAUAAUCUAAUCGAUAUCAAUAUCAAUCUACAAUUUGGGACAAGGACAUAAUCAAUCACGAAACGAAAUGACCUUAUUGGUAAAGCCCUAAUUACAUCGUAACAAUUUAACUUAUCCCUUAAAGCCAAUUUACUAGGAGGAAAAAUGAAUAGAAAUUAGUUUUCACCAUCAAUUGGUCACCAUCAAGAUCGUCUAUUAUUAUUACGCCUGAUUUAACUUAAUUGUAUCAACAUUUACAGUUAAUCACAUUUUCCAUUAUUGAUUAUCUCAUCUUGGUAAAGUCAAACAACUUAAUCGUAUUGCAAAUUGAAUUCAUUACAAUCAAUACAAUCAAAGUAACUAAACUAAAUCUAAUCAACAUCUAUUGUAUUGGUAACAACUUUUCCAAUCAUCAUCAAUGUGAUUAACCAUUUAGACUUAAUCAGUUUCUGUUUACCCUAAAUUUGUAACCCUGUUCACCCAAUCGUAUUGAAAUAUAUAUAUUUAUAUGUAUAUUUACAGUUACAAUUUAUGUACUAUUAUUAUUAUGACAACAAUUAAGCCCUCCCAAAGUUAAUUGUCUAUCAUAUAUCACUAAUACCUCCUUUUAAUUAACUUUCUUGUCUGAUUGUUGGUUACUGGUUGGACAAACUUUGUUAUCACCUCACCUCCAACACUUAAUUUCAUUGAUUGUUAACUUAUUGGAUUGUGAAAUCCACUGAUAAUCAACUAAUCUAUCAAUGAGUAACACUCAUAAUCUAAUACAACUCGAGUCAAUUCACAAAUCAUCUGAUUAAAAUGAACAACAAUCAACGAAGAAAAUUAAAUCUUAAACAUUAUCAUCUGAUUAUCAAUCUUCAUGAUCCAAUGAAUAUUAUUUCAUUUAAUUUCAAAUUCUGAUGAGAAUCUCAUUUAUCCUUAACGAUAAUCAACUAAUUAAACUAACUAUUCAACCUAAUUAACGAUCAAUAACAUUUUUGCAACUAAUUUUUACAUCAACAAUUUAGUUGAUCAUUUAUCUGGAUAGUUGACUGGUUAACACAAACAACAAUUAGUAAAUUCUAGUCACAAUAAUUUAGAUGAUCAAUUUACUAAUUGAAGAAUCAUUUUCGCAUUGGAAACUUAAUCAUUUUACUUUUUAAUUGUUACAAAUCUUAACAGUUAAUUGUUUCUUUUUUUUAUAUAAGUAUUGAUACAAACAUAGAAUUAAGGAAAAUAUAUAUUAACUGAAUUAAUUGUUGGAAUUGAUUUUUUUUUUAAUUUCUUCUCAUUUCCAAUCAAUAGUAACCUCGAUUUGAUAAACAACUUUUUCUAAUAACAAUUAACGAUUAGUUGAUUAUCUUUAUUUCUGAUUCCCUCUCAUAUAUUAUUAAUUAAAUUGUUCAAUUUUCCAAU